Long non-coding RNA from Pogoniulus pusillus (Red-fronted tinkerbird), 1670 nucleotides. RefSeq lists it as uncharacterized. The record is from RefSeq and is a predicted model, not a curated record. The transcript has 3 exons. NCBI's taxonomy places the organism in Eukaryota, Metazoa, Chordata, Aves, Piciformes, Lybiidae.
AGAUCUUGGUCCAGACUUGCCAGAAUUUUUAAUGCUGACACCUAGAUCCUGGUCCAGAGGAAGUUUGGUCUGAAAGCCUGCAUGGUGUUCCAGGUUGGCACAUGGUAUGGCUGGGAAGGUGUGAUAGUCAUACCUAGCCAGUAAGACCAUGAGACUUGAGAGUUACUCUGCCCUUUUAGCAUCAUGUUAGAUGCUGGCAAGCCUUGAGGAACAGCUGGAACAAAUACCCUCACGGCACAUGCAGCAGUGAUGCUCACUGCUUAAAACCUUCUCCCUGCAGGGGUUGAAACAUGUUUGAAAAUUGGAGCCAGUGUGAAGAGGUGCUUUUAAAUCAGGAGCUGUUGUAGUAGUUCUGAUUUACAAGAUGAGUUUGUAUGUGUUAAUGCAGAUGGCUGUUGUUUUGGUGUGCUUAUCAGGCAUUUAUAUGCACUUUUUUUUCCUGUAUGGAGGAGAUGACUCAAAGCAGAGAUUCUGAAGCUAGCUACUGAUCUUGCACAGUACAGUCCAGACACUAGAGAGAAGUGACCUGCCUUGAUUCCUUGAACUUUUGGAUUUUUCCUUUAGUACUCUUCAGCUGUACUUGUUCUCUCCCUUCCUUCUUUGCCUGUGAAGUGGAAAUGUUCCUUAAGCAGGGGAGAGAGCAGUUUCAUACAGAGUGAGUGAUUUUUAGUUCUCCUGUUGAGUUCUAUCACUGUGUGCUGUUGGUUCAGCCUCUGUUCCCUUGGCAAGACUGCACAGCUGAAGGGAAGGUCUAGAGAGAGCUACAAAGGGAAGGUAGGUAUAACAUGUGACAGUCAAAAGACUCAUCACAAGACUCAGCCUUGAGGAAAGUUGGAAGCUUUGGUUGUGAUGCUUUUGCAGUCAGCCAGGAUGUAUCCCAGUGUGUAAUGUUGUCAGGGAUUCCAGUAGUUGAAGAGUACCUUCUAGCCUGAUGUGUCCUGUGACUGUAUCUUUACAAGGGUGCUACUUUGUGUAACUCAGCAUGUUUUAAAAUGCUAAUUUAGUUCUAAUAGCAGCUAUAUAGAACUGAAUUUUACUUUGGUACUGGUGACAAAGUUCCCAAAUUUCUGUUUGCUUUUGGUGCAUGGAAGGUGGAUUGAGAAAUAGCUGUGAGAACACAUUUGUGUGAGGUAGCAGGUAUUUAUUUCACUGUGCUAGCAGGAUCUGCUCUUCUGUUCAACUCUCUUGUGAUGGUUCUGUUCAUUCUAUGUUAAAAAAAAUAAUCCCAGUGUCUUGUUUGUCUCCUGGAUGAGAAAUUUUCAGCCUGUUCACCUUCAGGAAUGCACAGCACUCUUUCUAAAGCACCUUGCAGUGAGUGAGUGAGAAAUGCAAGUUCAUGUCUGCUCCAUCUAGGACUUCAUGUAUGUGAAGGAUCUGAAAGACAGCAGACUUCCAAAAAUCAAGAAGUUCAUGAAUUAAGAGAUGGACAAGACAUUUCUGAUUGGCCCUCAGAUUAUUAGCCCCUUUUGGUCUUUCAGGCUAUGGAAGUGCUGGUGGACAUGGGAAUGGUGAAGGCCAUUGUAGUCUCCAACAAAAAACAAGACAUAUCCUGAGCAAACAGGGCUUAAGACACAAACCUGCAAAUAAUCAGCCCCAAGGAGAAGAGGCUGUGUGAAUAGAUGGGACCAGAGCCAGGCUGUAGUGCUGGGAGGAAUAGGUAAGACUGGGUG